This 422-nucleotide ribosomal RNA is filed under the name Pantoea sp. EA_L_69. RNAcentral describes it as "bacterial SSU rRNA". It matches the Rfam family "Bacterial small subunit ribosomal RNA", at positions 39 to 454 of the family's 1533-position model. Lineage: Bacteria; Pseudomonadati; Pseudomonadota; Gammaproteobacteria; Enterobacterales; Erwiniaceae. The record is from RNAcentral.
GGGUAAUGCGGAGCCUAACACAUGCAAGUCGGACGGUAGCACAGAGAGCUUGCUCUUGGGUGACGAGUGGCGGACGGGUGAGUAAUGUCUGGGGAUCUGCCCGAUAGAGGGGGAUAACCACUGGAAACGGUGGCUAAUACCGCAUAACGUCGCAAGACCAAAGAGGGGGACCUUCGGGCCUCUCACUAUCGGAUGAACCCAGAUGGGAUUAGCUAGUAGGCGGGGUAAUGGCCCACCUAGGCGACGAUCCCUAGCUGGUCUGAGAGGAUGACCAGCCACACUGGAACUGAGACACGGUCCAGACUCCUACGGGAGGCAGCAGUGGGGAAUAUUGCACAAUGGGCGCAAGCCUGAUGCAGCCAUGCCGCGUGUAUGAAAAAGGCCUUCGGGUUGUAAAGUACUUUCAGCGGGGAGGAAGGCGA